GAGCCGGUCUCGCGCAAUGAAGCUCUGCGAACCAUGUCAGGCGGGGAACCGAGCAGCAUUAAGCGGAAUGUUUCAUGUGCCGCGAGGCAACCGGCUCCGC
Molecule: signal recognition particle RNA, 100 nt
Filed under: Oscillibacter sp.
Lineage: Bacteria; Bacillati; Bacillota; Clostridia; Eubacteriales; Oscillospiraceae
Description: signal recognition particle sRNA small type
Rfam family: Bacterial small signal recognition particle RNA
About the family: The signal recognition particle (SRP) is a universally conserved ribonucleoprotein involved in the co-translational targeting of proteins to membranes. Archaeal SRP consists of a 7S RNA and homologues of the eukaryotic SRP19 and SRP54 proteins. In most bacteria, the SRP consists of a 4.5S RNA and the Ffh protein (a homologue of the eukaryotic SRP54 protein).
Source: RNAcentral